AAAGGAGGGACAGAAAAGCGCCUCAUUUUUAAAAACUCGGCCGAGAAAUCAGAUAAUUGCAGCUGCCCCGUUCGCCCACAGCCAGCACUAAGGAGGAGCCGGAGGAGCCUCAAGGAGGCAUCGGGACACUCCGCGGCCCCGAGCCUGGCCAGCCCAUCUCACCCCGGCUCCGCUCCGGCCGCUCAGACGGUCCCACUGCCGCCUCUCGUGACCCUACCAGGCACUGCAGCUGGGAUUCCAGCUACCGUACAAGCUGUGAGAAGCAGUGAAGAAACCCAGACCUUAUAGAUAAAUCAGCGACACUCAUCCAGCCUUCGUGGCGCUGGGGGAUCCUCGCAGGAGCGGCGCGCCCGGGACGGAGCUGGUCCCGCCGCUGGCUGCCGUCACCCGUGUGCCUCCCACCCGCCCCUGGAGCCGCUGACCCCGUCACCCGUGCUCCCACUUAGGCUGCUCUUUUCCUCUCUGCUGAGAUGAACUCCCUAGGGAAUGCCAUUUCCAGCAGCCCGGUUUGCUGGAAAAAGGAGGAGAGGAAGAGGAAUUGUGGUGCCAGAGCUGUGUCCCAUCAGGUUUUGUUUCCCUCUGAGGACAGAGAUCUGAGUUUCUGGGCCGAGGUGAAAUUGCUGAGUGCUUGGAUGAGCUAUCCAGGGAACAGGGAACUCAGAAUCGCAGGUGCUGAUGGAACCAUUGCCUUAGCUUUGCUUAGUUUGUGUCUGUGAGAAGUGGGAUUUGGGCUGGAGAGGUGCUGUUGGGAACAAAGAAUGCAGUAAAUCCAUUUCGGGGAUACACCGUGAAGGACUGAGUUGCAGGGAAUGAGAGUGUUUAUAAACUGUAUCAAUAUUCCCCUGAAACUGAAAAAUAAAACAACUCAAGGCACGUUC
This is a long non-coding RNA of Serinus canaria (Common canary), 878 nucleotides long. RefSeq lists it as uncharacterized. The transcript is spliced from 2 exons. The record is from RefSeq and is a predicted model, not a curated record. Lineage: Eukaryota; Metazoa; Chordata; Aves; Passeriformes; Fringillidae.